UGUGUGGGGGCGUGGUCUAAAAAGCUGCAUGAUGACUUUUGAUUUCCCCCCUCUCUUUUGCGCUGGGCUCUGCCACCCUCUUUUCACCUCUCUAAUCGCAAUGCUCCUCAUCUGUCCAGCCAGCAUCAUUCAUUCACUUGCUCUCCCUGUCUCCUGUGUGACUACAGCUUUUUCUGUAAGAUCUCCCGCUCAAGACUUUUUUUUAAUCUAACUGCAUAACAGACAAGUAACCUAAUAAAAGAAAAUGCAUAGAGAUGAGGCAAAUUGCAACAAUGAGGUAAAAAAGCAGUUUUAUGAACAGUGUUACAUGAUGAGGGUUAGUCAGUGCCAGUUUUUUUUUUUUUUUUUUUUUUUUUUUUUUGCCAGCUGUAUCAACUUAGAAAGGCAUCUUGUUCAGUCUUGAAGGUUAAAUAUUUUUUUGUCAAUACCAAUACCAGGAGACUGUACAUGUAUAAUGUUGUUUAGCGGUGUAACUCAUGAGGUUUUUUUUUUUCAGUAAGGUUUUGGUUUUUCACCAGCUUGGUACGCCUCAACACAUUACUACUGGGUUGCCACGGGAGACAGAUUACUCCCUUCUGACUGGUAGCUGCAGGAGCUGAGGAAGGAUAUGCAGGUCUUGAUUGCUAGGUAGCGAGUGCUGCACAAUCUGUCAAAUCUAGAUAAGAACAUCUAAUGAUUCCCAGUGUAUUUUGGGCAUGGUCAGUCUGGCCAUGACUGAUUAGUGACAGGACCUGCCUAUCUGUCUGUUUACCAGCUGUUAACUGGUGUUCUGUAUUGUGAUAGCAUCAGAUCUGAAGUGUACCGCUGUGUAUUUGUGCAUUUUGUAUAUGGUUUGCACAGGUGUGGAUGCAUGCUUAGAGGAAAAUUGGAAUGGUGUGUGUGUGUUUGUGUGAUGCACAAGAACACACGUGUUGGAGUGUGUUCAAGUGUGUUAGGGGGUCUGUGCCUCUGCGUUCCUUCACUUUCCCUUUGUGAUUUUUCCUAGGCUUAUGCUCUAGACACUGUCCUCUCCUGCCCAGGGCUUUG
Myripristis murdjan (pinecone soldierfish) is the source of this 1026-nucleotide long non-coding RNA. RefSeq lists it as uncharacterized. NCBI's taxonomy places the organism in Eukaryota, Metazoa, Chordata, Actinopteri, Holocentriformes, Holocentridae. The record is from RefSeq and is a predicted model, not a curated record. The transcript has 2 exons.